AUGACUCUACGAGAUGCUGCCCGUGCUGCCUGCGUAUCUCAUGCCUUUCGAAGUUCUCGGAAAUGCUAUCCCAACCUUAUCUUUAAUAUUCAAACAAUAGUGUUGCCGAAUGGCAUGGAUUUCACCUACAGAGUUGAUUACAUUUUGAAAAACCACUCGGGCAUUGGCGUGAAGACAUUCGAGCUUGAUUUAUCCUGUUGCUACAACCCCAAUGUCUAUAGAUAUCUCCAUAGGUGGCUUAAUAAGAUAGUGGUUACACCUGGCAUUGAAAAACUUACCCUUGUGAUGCCUGAGAGGGAGGCAGUCAGCUCCCCUUGCCAUGUUUUGUUUAAUAGGGAUGGAAGCUCGAUGUGGUAUCUUCACCUUGCUUACUGUGCCUUCCAUCCUACAGUCAGUCCUGGUUGCUUGAGAUUGACAUGCCUGACGGUGCUGCAUCUCGAGUGUGUGAGAAUUACAGGGGACGAGUUAGGGUACGUUUUUUCCAGCUGCGUUGCUUUGGAGCGACUGGAACUCUCGAGAUGCUUCGAUAUAACUUGCUUGAAGAUACCUUUCCAGCUGCAGCGGCUCAGCAACCUGCAAGUGUUAAUUUGCCCCAAACUGCGGAUGAUAAAGAUCGAAGCUCCAAAUAUUUAUAGGUUUCGCUUUAUUACAUUUGGCCAAGUAGAGGUCUCACUUGGAUAA
Molecule: ribosomal RNA, 681 nt
Filed under: Triticum aestivum (bread wheat)
Lineage: Eukaryota; Viridiplantae; Streptophyta; Magnoliopsida; Poales; Poaceae
Description: partial small subunit ribosomal RNA
Source: RNAcentral